This 253-nucleotide ribosomal RNA is filed under the name uncultured bacterium. RNAcentral's name for it is "partial 16S ribosomal RNA". It matches the Rfam family "Bacterial small subunit ribosomal RNA", at positions 524 to 776 of the family's 1533-position model. The record is from RNAcentral.
UACGUAGGGUCCGAGCGUUGUCCGGAAUUAUUGGGCGUAAAGAGCUCGUAGGCGGUUUGUCGCGUCUGCUGUGAAAUCCCGAGGCUCAACCUCGGGCCUGCAGUGGGUACGGGCAGACUGGAGUGCGGUAGGGGAGAAUGGAAUUCCUGGUGUAGCGGUGGAAUGCGCAGAUAUCAGGAGGAACACCGAUGGCGAAGGCAGUGCUCUGGGCCGUAACUGACGCUGAGGAGCGAAAGCGUGGGGAGCGAACAGG